This 301-nucleotide ribosomal RNA is filed under the name uncultured bacterium. RNAcentral's name for it is "partial 16S ribosomal RNA". It matches the Rfam family "Bacterial small subunit ribosomal RNA", at positions 509 to 809 of the family's 1533-position model. The record is from RNAcentral.
CAGUAGCCGCGGUAAAACGAAGGGGGCUAGCGUUGUUCGGAAUUACUGGGCGUAAAGCGCACGUAGGCGGAUAUUUAAGUCAGGGGUGAAAUCCCAGAGCUCAACUCUGGAACUGCCUUUGAUACUGGGUAUCUUGAGUAUGGAAGAGGUGAGUGGAAUUCCGAGUGUAGAGGUGAAAUUCGUAGAUAUUCGGAGGAACACCAGUGGCGAAGGCGGCUCACUGGUCCAUUACUGACGCUGAAGUGCGAAAGCGUGGGGAGCAAACAGGAUUAGAGACCCCCGUAGUCCCUGUCUCUUAUAA